UGUUCCCGGUUAAAGUCCGGUAAACGAGCGGCAACCCCUAUCACUAGUUGCCAGCAUUAAGGUGGGGCACUUCUAGAGAGACUGCCGGCGACAAGCCGGAGGAAGGCGGGGACGACGUCAAGUCAUCAUGGCCUUUAUGUCCUGGGCUACACACAUGCUACAAUGGCGAGCACAACGGGUUGCAAACCCGCGAGGGGGAGCUAAAUUCCCCAUCAAAGUUCGUCUCAGUUCGGAUUGCAGGCUGCAACUCGCCUGCAUGAAGCUGGAAUCGCUAGUAAUCGCGGAUCAGCUACGCCGCGGUGAAUACGUUCCCGGGCCUUGCACACACCGCCCGUCACACCACGAAAGUUGGUUCUACCCGAAGUGGCUGAGCUAACCCGCAAGGGAGGCAGGCUCCGAAGGUAGGGCUGAUGAUUGGGGUGAAGUCGUAACAAGGUAGCCGUAGCGGAAGCUGCGGCUGGAUCACGUACCUU
RNAcentral lists this ribosomal RNA (473 nucleotides) under uncultured delta proteobacterium. Its description in RNAcentral is "bacterial SSU rRNA". It matches the Rfam family "Bacterial small subunit ribosomal RNA", at positions 1071 to 1533 of the family's 1533-position model. Lineage: Bacteria; Deltaproteobacteria. The record is from RNAcentral.